This 377-nucleotide ribosomal RNA is filed under the name uncultured eukaryote. Its description in RNAcentral is "partial 18S ribosomal RNA". It matches the Rfam family "Eukaryotic small subunit ribosomal RNA", at positions 592 to 976 of the family's 1831-position model. The record is from RNAcentral.
CAAUAGCGUAUAUUUAAGUUGCUGCAGUUAAAAAGCUCGUAGUUGGAUUUCGGGUGGGAAUGGCCGGUCCGCCGUUUCGGUGUGCACUUGCUACGCCCACCUUGCUGCCGGGGACGUGCUCUUGAGUUCACGCUCGGGACACGGAGUCGGCGAGGUUACUAUGAGUAAAUUAGAGUGUUCAAAGCAGGCCUACGCUCUGAAUACAUUAGCAUGGAAUAACACGAUAGGACUCUGGCCUAUCUUGUUGGUCUGUAGGACCGGAGUAAUGAUUAAGAGGGACAGUCGGGGGCAUUCGUAUUUCAUUGUCAGAGGUGAAAUUCUUGGAUUUAUGAAAGACGAACUACUGCGAAAGCAUUUGCCAAGGAUGUUUUCAUUAA